RNAcentral lists this ribosomal RNA (488 nucleotides) under uncultured bacterium. RNAcentral describes it as "partial 16S ribosomal RNA". It matches the Rfam family "Bacterial small subunit ribosomal RNA", at positions 28 to 507 of the family's 1533-position model. The record is from RNAcentral.
GACGAACGCUGGCGGCGUGCUUAACACAUGCAAGUCGAACGGAAAGGCCCUGCUUUUGUGGGGUGCUCGAUUGGCGAACGGGUGAGUAACACGUGAGUAACCUGCCCUUGACUUUGGGAUAACUUCAGGAGACUGGGGCGCAUACCCGAUAGGAGCUCCUGCUGCAUGGUGGGGGUUGGAAAGUUUCGGCGGUUGGGGAUGGACUCGCUGGGUAUCAGCUUGUUGGUGGGGUAGGUGCGUACCAAGGCUGUGACGGGUAGCCGGCCUGAGAGGGUGACCGGCCGCCCUGGGAGUGAGACACGGUCCAGACUGCUACGGGAGGCGGCAGUAGGCAAUCGGCCGCAAGGGGCGAGAGCCUGACGGAACAGCGCGGCGUGAGUGAUGAAGGUCUCCGGGUCGGGAAACUCGGCUUUUAGGGAAGAACAAAUGUUUACGUGACGAUGCACGUCUUGACGGUAACUGAUCAAAAAGCCACGGCUAACUACGUG